This 254-nucleotide ribosomal RNA is filed under the name uncultured bacterium. RNAcentral's name for it is "partial 16S ribosomal RNA". It matches the Rfam family "Bacterial small subunit ribosomal RNA", at positions 524 to 776 of the family's 1533-position model. The record is from RNAcentral.
UACGUAGGUAGCGAGCGUUGUUCGGAGUUACUGGGCGUAAAGGGUGUGUAGGCGGUCGUUUAAGUUUGGUGUGAAAUCUCCCGGCUCAACUGGGAGGGUGCGCCGAAUACUGAACGGCUUCGAGUGCGGGAGAGGAGAGAGGAAUUCCUGGUGUAGCGGUGAAAUGCGUAGAUAUCAGGAGGAACACCGGUGGUGUAGACGGCUCUCUGGACCGUAACUGACGCUGAGACGCGAAAGCGUGGGUAGCAAACAGG